RNAcentral lists this unclassified non-coding RNA (221 nucleotides) under uncultured fungus. RNAcentral describes it as "sequence contains ITS1". The record is from RNAcentral. Lineage: Eukaryota; Fungi.
GUUUGUAGAUUAAUACAAAAAUAUUGUCAGACAAAAAAAGUGGAAACAUAUGCCCACACAGGCCGAGACUGCGAACAGUACCCAACCCAUGCCAGCAAAUACAGUUCACAAAGUGUGCGUGUUAACGCAGCCCGCUCAGAGCUUUGCAGCAGAGAGCGGGCCAACAAUCCUAAUUAAAGGAGUUAUUUUUAAUGAUCCAACCGCAGGUUCACCUACGGUUA